RNAcentral lists this ribosomal RNA (1047 nucleotides) under uncultured organism. RNAcentral's name for it is "bacterial SSU rRNA". It matches the Rfam family "Bacterial small subunit ribosomal RNA", at positions 243 to 1293 of the family's 1533-position model. The record is from RNAcentral.
AGCUUGUUGGUGAGGGUAACGGCCCACCAAGGCGACAACGGGUAGCUGGUCUGAGAGGAUGGUCAGCCACACUGGAACUGAGACACGGUCCAGACACCUACGGGUGGCAGCAGUCGAGAAUCAUUCGCAAUGGGGGAAACCCUGACGAUGCGACGCCGCGUGGAGGAUGAAGGCCUUAGGGUUGUAAACUCCUGUCAAGAGGGAAUAAGCAAGUGAAGGUACCUCUAGAGGAAGGGGCGGCUAAUUCCGUGCCAGCAGCCGCGGUAACACGGAAGCCCCGAGCGUUGUUCGGAUUCAUUGGGCGUAAAGGGUGCGUAGGCGGCGCGGAAAGUCCGGCGUGAAAGGCAGGGGCUCAACCUCUGGACUGCGUUGGAUACUUCCGUGCUUGAGGACUGGAGGGGAGACUGGAAUUCACGGUGUAGCAGUGAAAUGCGUAGAUAUCGUGAGGAAGACCGGUGGCGAAGGCGAGUCUCUGGACAGAUCCUGACGCUGAGGCACGAAGGCUGGGGGAGCGAACAGGAUUAGAUACCCUGGUAGUCCCAGCAGUAAACGAUGUGAGCUUGAUGUGGGGGGAUUCGACCCCUUCCGUGUCGAAGCUAACGCGAUAAGCUCACCGCCUGAGGAGUACGGCCGCAAGGCUAAAACUCAAAGAAAUUGACGGGGACCCGCACAAGCGGUGGAGUAUGUGGCUUAAUUCGAUGCAACGCGAAGAACCUUACCUGGCCUUGACAUGCAUUGUGUCGUCGGUGAAAGCCGGCUAGUCCUGGAAACAGGACGCUUUGCACAGGUGCUGCAUGGCUGUCGUCAGCUCGUGUCGUGAGAUGUUGGGUUAAGUCCCGCAACGAGCGCAACCCUUGUGGUCAGUUACUAACCGGCUUAGCCGGAGGACUCUGGCCAGACUGCCCUGUCAAACGGGGAGGAAGGUGGGGACGACGUCAAGUCAGUAUGGCCCUUAUGGCCAGGGCUGCACACGUACUACAAUGCCCGGUACAAUGUGAACCGAAACCGCGAGGUGGAGGAAAUCGCUCUUGAAAACCGGGCCCAGUU